GAGUUUGAUCGUGGCUCAGGAUGAACGCUGGCGGCAUGCCUAACACAUGCAAGUCGAACGGGGUUUAUAUAACAGAACUCUUCGGAGGGAAGAUAUAUAAACCUAGUGGCGGACGGGUGAGUAACGCGUGGGCAACCUGCCCUGUACCGGGGACAACAGCCAGAAAUGGCUGCUAAUACCGCAUAAGCCUGCGGUGCCGCAUGGCACAGCAGGGAAAACCACGGUGGUACAGGAUGGGCCCGCGUCUGAUUAGUUAGUUGGCAGGGUAACGGCCUACCAAGACGAUGAUCAGUAGCCGGCUUGAGAGAGUGGACGGCCACAUUGGGACUGAGACACGGCCCAGACUCCUGCGGGAGGCAGCAGUGGGGAAUAUUGCACAAUGGGGGGAACCCUGAUGCAGCAAUGCCGCGUGGGUGAAGAAGCACUCCGGUGCGUAAAGCCCUGUCAGCAGGGAAGAAAAUGACAGUACCUGACCAAGAAGCCCGGCUAACUACGUGCCAGCAGCCGACCG
RNAcentral lists this ribosomal RNA (511 nucleotides) under uncultured microorganism. RNAcentral describes it as "bacterial SSU rRNA". It matches the Rfam family "Bacterial small subunit ribosomal RNA", at positions 9 to 520 of the family's 1533-position model. The record is from RNAcentral.